UGCUGCCUGGGGGUCCAUCAUUCCGUCCCCAGGGCUCUCCUGUGAGGGGUGCAUGUCCAGACAGAAACUGGCUCAGGGAGGUGAGGGCGGUCAGACGCCUUCCUGUUAGUUAGGAAGUGUUUCAGACCUGUCCAGCACCCAGCAGUCACCUACAGCCUGGACAGUUACCUGGGGGAUAGAUGUGAGCUUGGAUGGACAUCCUGAAAGGACACUAGAGGUGGGAUAGAGCUGGCCAGGGAGAAAGCCGGGCAGGCGAGGAGCAAGGCCCACGGAGGUGGUUAACAUCCUGUGUCAGCCCAUAUGGGUCCCAGGUUCUUGGUCAAAAUUGUUUCUGGGUGUGUCUGUGGGUUUCACAUCUGAACUGGACGACUGGGGAAAGCAGAAGGCCUGGGUAGGUCUCGUCCAGUCUAUCGAGGGAGGGCCCAAGCAGAGCAGAAGUUGGAGGGAGGGAGAACCUGUCCUCUUCUGUCCGACUGCAGAGCUGGACCCUGCUCGUCUGCCCAAGAUCAAGACUGACCCUAUUGGCUCCCUGUUCUCAGGCCUUUGGACUCGGACAGAUUAAAGGACGCCCUGGCUCUCCUAGGCCUCCAGCUUGCAGGUGGCGGAUCCUUGAUUUCUUGGCCUCCAUAAUCGUGUGAGCCAAUUCCUUUUUAUAUAUUAUUGUUGUUAUUCUGUUGCUAAGUCGUGCCCAACACUUUGUGACCCCAUGGACCACAGCAAGCCAGGCUCACCUGUCCUUUCCUUCUCCCGGCGUUUGCUCAGACUCAUGUCCAUUGAGUCAGUGAUGCUGUGUAAACAUCUGUAUGUGUAUAAUAUAUACAGGAGCACAUCUGUCUAUCUGCAUCUCCUGUUGGUCCGUUUCUCUAGAGAACCCUGAUGACACCCCCUCCUCCCUCACACACAGAGGAUACUUCUCAGUGGACACAACUUGACCGUGAGGCCUGGGGACCCCACUGUGACAGGCACAGUGGCUGAGUCAGGACAGUGUGGCCCUGCCUCCCUGUCCGCCCCACUCCCGCCACUGGGCCAAGGGCAGCUCUCUGUAUAUUUAGCACUCUCACCCUAGAGGGACAGUGGCAGCCACCUGUUGCAACAGGGCACGGCCUUACCUUUAGGUAACUUCCCUUCUGCAUGCAGGGUCCUGGCAGAGGAAACGGAGAGAGUGCGAGUGAGAACCCUCUGCAGUUAACGGGAGGGGCUGUCAGAGCCUGGCCUGCCCCACCCUGGGGUCCCUCCACGUAGGUUUCCAGGCAGGUUCUUGAGCAUAAGUCACCACAGAGAUGCCUUGGACUCCAUAGCUCUGGCUACGGCUGAAGGAGCUAGGGUGGGUCCUUCAUCCAAGGUCAGCCAAUCUGGAGAUGACCAGUGGCUUAUGAGGUGCCCUGGUCCAAGCUGUGCCCACCAGAGAUGAAAGUAACAAUGGACUCUUCAGAGUUUUUCUCCUUUAUGAGAUUGUGAUGUGAGUGUGGUGGGAAAAUAUGUAAAGUGUUCAUUGGUAUUUCUUCCCUGACAGUCCUCUCCCCUUGCAGUACUACCUCUUAGCAGUAGAGGCCAUUCUGUGCUCACUGCCCUAAGAGGAGGCGUGAGGGGAUUCCCUGGGGGUCCAGUCAUUAAGACUUGGUGCUUCCACUGCAGAGGGCACAGGUUCAAUCCCUAGUCGGGGAACUAAGAUCCCACAUGCUGUACAGUGUGGUGAGAAAAAAGCAUGUAUCCUAAGAGGAGGGGUGAGCUGAGUCCAACAGCAAUAUGAAAAUGAAAUCCUUGUUUCGGAAGCUGACAGGUGGGCAAUGGGACAAAGAGUCCCCUUCCCCCACACCCCAACACACAGACAUAUGGACUCAUGGGGAAGGGGUUCUCAGGAGCAGGGAUUAAAGACAAGAAGUUGGCCUGACUUACAGAGCUUGAGAAAUAGAAAAUGCCGAGCUCAGAGGCAGCUCAUCCUGCACUCUGGGUGUAGUCCUGGGGAUGAACUCCAAGGAAAGAGCUCAGAGGCAGAUCUAAGGGCAGGAGAGAGGUACCCUGGAGACACAUCUUCAAGCCCUGAAGAGAAUGGGCACGUUCAGAAGAAGGGUGUAGAGUCAGUCCUUGACCUCAAGCUGCCCUCUCCCUUCCCUAGGCUGGGUCCAGCAAGCUGCUUUUGGGCCCAAGAGGAGCAGGCUCAAGAGAUCAGGACAUAAGCUACAGGUUUGUAUGACCCCAGAGAAGUCCCUCAAAAUCUGUGAGGUUUUUUUUUUUUUUUUAACCAGUUAAAUGCAGGUGGUGGUUGUGGUUGUUAGUUGCGUGGUCGUGGUUGUUAGUCGCUCAGCCGUGAGUGACUCAUUGCAACCCCAGUGGGCUACAGCCCGCCAGGUUCCUCUGUCCAUGGGAUUUCCCAGGCAAGAAUACUGGAGCAGGUUGCCAUCUCCUCUUCCAAGGGAUCUUCCCAACACAAGGAUUGAAUCCACCUCUCCUGCAUCAGUAGGCAGAUUCUUUACCACUGAGCUGCCAGGGAAGCCCUAAAUGCAGAUGCAUGUCAGUAAAAUGCAGUGGCUGCAAAGAACAGGUGAGAUUUCAAAUGACGUGCACAUCCUCCUUCUCCAAAGAAAAAUCUGAAAUCAGGAGGAUGCCCAUUCAUCGAUCCCAGCCCUCAGACCUGCCCAUGAGCUACAAGGAGAUGAAAUUUGGCUCUAACAUUUCCUGAGGCCAAAGCAGAGGGAGGAAUCCAGUCAGUUCCUGCAUUUGGCUGCAUCUGGGGACAGAGAGACUCAGCUAUUAGGAGGCAAGGUCAUAACUCUAGGACUUGGGCACCUGCUCCUGGGAGGAUGAGGUGAGAUGACCCAUGGGGUGGAGAGUGAUGAGGAGACCGCCCACCCCAGCCGCCCAGGGAACUGGCGCACCAUCGUACCUCACAGCUGCAUUCAGAGCCACGUGGUUGCUGUGCCCACUCACGCCCCCCUCAUCGAAGGUCACCACCUGCAGAGACACAGAGCUGCAUUCCAGACUGUCUGAAUAGUCUCUCCCGCCUCCGUCCACACCGCCUGGGACAGACAGGAGGACCCAGAAUCCUGAACCUGUUCGUGUUCUGAGUGCAUCAGAACUGACUUGGGAGCAGGUCAGUGGUAUGUGACUGCUGUUCAGCCCUGUGGCUGUGGGCUUGACUCUUCUCUUGCUCCUGGACAGCAGAGCAGAGUGGAACUGGGCCACGAGAGAAACCUGGGUUCAGCAUGUCUGUGUUUCUUAUCUGCCUGGCCUCUUAGCAGCACGUUUGGUUUCCCGAGUGGCUGCUGCAUGACCUUUGUUCAUGUCGAUGCCGUCUGAUGAUUUGGUCCCUCUUCCUGGUGCUGUGUUGAGGGCAUGAAAGCGCUAGGGGACAGUGUCCACCAUGCCCUGGGGCUCAUAGAAGCCCGUGGCUCCUCGUAGGCUGCCUCUGCGUCCACAUUCUCAGACCAGCGUCUGCUUCUCCAACUAUAAGCCUAGCCUAGGCUCCAGAUUCAUUUCUGCACAGAUGAGUUAAAAAAUCCAAAGAAUAAUUUGAGUAAUAAUAAAUGUAAAAGAAUAGCUGGAAUAAGUAAAAAAAAAAAAAAAAAAAAAUGUAGGAAAGAAGACAGGACUCAGAGAAAGGCACAGGUGUGGCUGGUUGAGGGGGAUGGAAAGGGGACCAGGCAGCCAAGAGAGUAGGAUUAUGGAGGAGCAGGGGCAGGUGAGCCGACAUUUAAAGAAAAAUGCUGUUGAUCUUGAGUUAAUAAUUAGUGAGGCUGAAUGAUGGGAACAUGAAUUUCAUUAUACUCUUUGCUCUACUUUUGCAUGCUUGAAAUUCUCCACAGGGGGAAAUUUUUUUUAAAAAGGCUUACAAACAGAUCCCAUUAUGAUGGAUACGUGUCAUACAUUUGUUAAAACCCACGGGACAUACAGCACCAGGAGUGAACCCUAGUGUGAACCUGGGGUGAUGAUGACAUAUUAGUGUAGAUUCACUCGCUGUAACAGGUCAUGGGGCCAGGGGUACGUGUAUACUUUCUGCCCAGUUCUACUGUGAACCUAACAUUGCUCUGGAAACUAUAGUGUGUUAAAAAAAAAAACAAAACACUUCACCCUAGAACCCAGGUACCCCGUUCUGAUCCCAUCCUUCUGUGGAGCCAAGCCUGGAGUGCCGAAGUCCACUCUCACCUCUGACCUAGUUACCCUGACCUUCGGGCAUAUCAUAGAAUGUCGCUACUGGGAGCGAUUUCAUCUUCAGUGUCUUGGUUUUCUCAUCUGUGAGGUCAGGAGAGUGAGGCCUCCCUCCUUUCUCUCUGGGUCAGGUGAAGGUCAAAUGAAGCCCUGUGGGAACGUGUAGGACCUGGACAGCAGCCCAAGCUGAGUGUCCGCUGCCCUCGCUGAGGUGACUCUGGGACGCGGUUGUCUCAGGCCAGCCGGGGCACACUCCCUGGUCUGGGGGCUUGGGGCCACUGCAGUUCAUCCCCAUCACUUAAAAUUCUCCAAGGUCUUGUUUCCUGUUUAUCCCACACCUUCCAACAAGCCCUGAGUCUUCCUGCUGUGAGGAGGGCUGAGCUGAAUUGUCUCCACCCCCUGGUCUCAUGCAGCAAUGGCGUCUGUCCACCUUCCCCCCUAAACUGCGGAAACCUUUGUUCAAAUGAAGUCUUCCCUGGACCCCAGUAAACAAUAGGCUGCUUUCACUUCUCUAAGACAGUGGCUCACAGGACAUGGUCCGUGAAGGAUAAAUAGCAACACCUGUCACCAGGGCAAGACACACAGCAAAUACUGCCCCAAAGAGGACUGAAGAAGUCAUGGAGGGUUUCUGGGAGAAGGCGGUCUUAGCUGGGCCUGGACCACAAGUCAGUUUUCAGGGAAACAAACUUGGGAGAUUCUUCUGUGUCUGUGCCCUGACCUCUUCCCUAGAUGUUCAGAGCUGUGGCUGUGAUGUGGUCUAAACACGAACUCGGCCCCUCAGUGAGUUCCAGCCCUGUUCACCAGCCAGUGGCACCUUUGGGAGGGCUGGUCAGAGGUGGCCAAGUUCACAAAUAUGGGGGUUUAUCCCACAAGCAGGACUGACUGAAGACCAGUUGUUCCAAUGAACCAAAGCCAGAGAGGAGACUAGCCAGAGAGGAGAGGGGACUAGCUGUGGGCAUGUCACUGCCCAGAAAGACGGGGUACCAAGGGUCACUGCAGCAUACCUCACAGACCCUGCCCUGUGCCCCAGACGGCCCUGAGGACCAGCUCUGUCCACCACCAGGCUGUGGAACCCUGAGAGGGUCUGAGUGUGGUCUGGGAAAAGCAGGGCAAGAGGAGCCAGGCCGGCUAUCACCUCAGACCCUGAAGCAAGGUACAUCCAGGAGGGGUGGGCCUGCAGCUGUUGGUGACCAUUCGUCCGGCCAGAACAAAGUGCAAAGCCAGUGCAGAUCCCUGGUGGGGCCAGUGGCCCCCCUGCACCUACAGCUCCGUGUGGUUCACAGCCAGCUGGCGAGGUGCCCGUUGUAUUUAUGUCAUUAGAGCACAAAGGCAGUCUGACUAAUCCACGAAAAUCUGCCCUUAACAAUGGCCUAAUAACUCAUUUCACUCGGAGGAUGCAUCACUGAUAAGAAGCCUGACAGUGGGGUUCACCUUCUAACAAGGAUUAAUCAAAACUUAAAAGCCAGCGGCUGGGGCUUUAAAUGGUAGGAUUUAGGUAUUAACUUGUGAAGGGUUAUUCUUAUUUUAGACGUUCCUGGCACCUUAAGAUGGACUGCUGGCAGGAUGCAGGCUGGCGAGGCCUGAGCGUAGAGGAGCUGUGGAUUUAUCCUCGCAUUUUCUGGAGGGAAAAAUGGAGGCUCAAACCCCUAGCUUCAUGCUUGCCGACCUUGGGCAGCUUCUGAGCCUCUGGGAACCUCAGUCUCCUCGAUGAAGGAAAGGUGCAGAGAGACAGGCCAGAUCUCUGCUGGAGAGGAGGGCGUGUACCCUUACCAGCUUGAUGCCAUUGGCCUCUACGUGCCGGAGGAGGACAUCAGCCGCCCGCUCUGGGUCCCAGCGCACGUCUGGAUCAUCUGGGAAAUCCCUGGAAGGAAGAAGUGCACGUUGGAAACCGUUUCUAACGGGGUGCAGGCUCUCCCCUCAGCUCUGCCUCUUUCAAGGAGCAGAAUCAGCCACAAAUACAUGCCUUGUUGAGGCCAGCCUCCCUGGUCCCACUCUUCUUCUAAACUGACACGAAACUUGACGACCCAGCCUCCCUCCAGCUCCCAGGAUAACCUGCCUUUGAAGUAGCACAGGAGCAGCCUUCCAUGUUGGCACAGUUGCUCCAUAUCAGCUUGGUCCACUUGAGUCUCCUCCCAUGGCUCCUUUUCUAGGAAACGUCGUCCUUUGUGCCCUCUGGAAGGACAGGAGCCCUGCCCUGCUCUUGCCAACUGGGGCUGGAACGCUGCCCUCUCACUGUACCCAGUCACUUCUUUGUGUCUUUGGAGAAAAGGCCCUGCGAGGAGCUUCGUUUUAUCUCUUUACAGUAAGAGGAUGCUUGGUCACGUUCACUUUGGCACUUGGCAUAUGGUCUGUUUUGGUUUCUGGAAGGGGCCGGCUUUUACAGGGUCUCAAGAGGAGAGGGGAUUAGUUACCAAGGGGACCCCAGCAGCCCCAGACUCUCUGCUUUGUGGCUUCCCUUUCACUGAUUUGUGUGCGUUUAUUGGAAAACACAGAGACUUCUAGGAACUGGUAGCGGGCCAGGCUCAUUUAUGUUGCCUAGUGGGUACUGGAUUCUAUUUCCUUGUUCAACUUAAAUCAGUCUGUUAAGGUCUUGGGCUUGUUAAUGCCAGGAUGACAUUGAGACGAGCAGUAGGAGAAAAGAUGCUGAAACCUUAGGAUGGUGGAGCCAAACUGACAGGGUGGGAAAAUCAAGAUGUAGAAAAAUACUCCCAAACCUAAGUGCUCACUUAGGACUUCCAAAAGGCUAAAAAUAACCAUGCAAUUCAGGGAUCAAGACUGUUUUCUUUAAAAAAAAAAAAAAAAUUGAAAACAGUUUUACUGAAGUCUCAGGAAUUGGUUUGCUAUUCACCAUUUCUGAGUCAAUGAAAAAAAAAAAUCGAGGAAAGGGGGUUGGAGACCACACACUUAUGGGGUGCCACAGGAAGGAAGCUUCUGGUGUGAGCCAAGUAGCCUGUUUAUUCAACAAACAUGCAUUGAGCAACUAUAUAUCAAGUGUUAGGAUAGUGGUUGGGGAUACAUGAAGAAAAGAUACAGAGGGGCUUGUGGAGUAAAAAAAUGAUGUAUAUAUUGGGAUAUGAUGGGACAAUGACAAUGUAGCCAAAGUGCCCAAGAAAAUCUGGGCAAAUCAUGGAUGUUGCAGAGUUGAAGGUAAUCUUGAGCUGGGGUUUCAAGGAUGAAUAGGAGUUUGCUAGACAGCCAGGAUGUGGGGAGCUGGGAAGGGAGGAAGCAGGCAGAGGAGGGCCAGGCACAUGCAUGAGUGUGGAUGCAGAAGAAAGCUUGGUGGGUUUGCAGCCUGAUUUGCAUACGAGAACAGACUGGGGUGCUGGGAAUCCUCUGCUUUUGUGGUGGGAAUAGAUGUGAUGUGGGUACGGCAGGUAUGGGAUGCUAGGAGCAGGGAUCAGACCACAAUCACCUCCGAGACUCCAAAAGUUUCUCCCAACGGUUGGUUGUUGGGCCCUGAUGCAUUUUUAUGGGCCUGGUUAUGACUGGAAGGUCUACUUUAUUUCAUUACAAUCAGUGUGUGUGUAUGUGUGUGUGUGUGUGUCUCAGUCGCUCAGUCGUGUCCAACUCUCCAAUCCCAUGGGCUGUAGCCCUCCAGGCUCCUCUGUCCAUGAGGAUUCUCCAGGCAAGAAUACU
This is a long non-coding RNA of Bubalus bubalis (water buffalo), 7782 nucleotides long. RefSeq lists it as uncharacterized. The transcript is spliced from 4 exons. NCBI's taxonomy places the organism in Eukaryota, Metazoa, Chordata, Mammalia, Artiodactyla, Bovidae. The record is from RefSeq and is a predicted model, not a curated record.